Molecule: ribosomal RNA, 319 nt
Filed under: uncultured eukaryote
Lineage: Eukaryota
Description: partial 18S ribosomal RNA
Rfam family: Eukaryotic small subunit ribosomal RNA
Source: RNAcentral
CCCUUAGAUGGUCUGGGCGGCACGCGCGCUACAAUGAUGCAUUGAAAAAGUCUUCUGACCUUAGAAGGUUGGGUAUUCUCCAAAGUGCAUCGUGAUGGGAAUAGUUUAUUGCAAUUUUUAAUCUUGAACGAGGAAUUCCUAUUAAGUACAGGUCAUCAACUUGUGUUGAUUACGUCCCUGCCCUUUGUACACACCGCCCGUCGCUCCUACUGAUUGAAUGCUCAGGUGAGCCAUUCGGACUUUCAUCAUGCUGGUUUCCAGUUUUGAUGAAGGAAAGUCUUGCGAACCUUAUCAUUUAGAGGAAGGAGAAGUCGUAACA